This 492-nucleotide ribosomal RNA is filed under the name uncultured bacterium. RNAcentral describes it as "partial 16S ribosomal RNA". It matches the Rfam family "Bacterial small subunit ribosomal RNA", at positions 29 to 507 of the family's 1533-position model. The record is from RNAcentral.
AGUGAACGCUGGCGGUAGGCCUAACACAUGCAAGUCGAACGGCAGCACAGUAAGAGCUUGCUCUUACGGGUGGCGAGUGGCGGACGGGUGAGGAAUACAUUGGAAUCUACUUUUUCGUGGGGGAUAACGUAGGGAAACUUACGCUAAUACCGCAUACGACCUACGGGUGAAAGCAGGGGAUCUUCGGACCUUGCGCGAUUGAAUGAGCCGAUGUCGGAUUAGCUAGUUGGCGGGGUAAAGGCCCACCAAGGCGACGAUCCGUAGCUGGUCUGAGAGGAUGAUCAGCCACACUGGAACUGAGACACGGUCCAGACUCCUACGGGAGGCAGCAGUGGGGAAUAUUGGACAAUGGGCGCAAGCCUGAUCCAGCCAUACCGCGUGGGUGAAGAAGGCCUUCGGGUUGUAAAGCCCUUUUGUUGGGAAAGAAAAGCAGCAGGUUAAUACCCCGCUGUUCUGACGGUACCCAAAGUAUAAGCACCGGCUAACUUCGUG